Non-coding RNA from Podarcis lilfordi (Lilford's wall lizard), 103 nucleotides. Lineage: Eukaryota; Metazoa; Chordata; Lepidosauria; Squamata; Lacertidae. The record is from the annotation of a GenBank genome assembly.
GGCCAAUGGCCCAUCUAGUCCAGUCACACAGUGGCCUACCAGAUGUUGGUAGAACAUGAGACUCUUAAUAUCAGGGUCAUGGGUUUGAGCCCCACAUUGGCCA